This 21-nucleotide non-coding RNA is filed under the name Caenorhabditis elegans. The record is from RNAcentral. Lineage: Eukaryota; Metazoa; Nematoda; Chromadorea; Rhabditida; Rhabditidae.
UACCCAUCUCGCCAAAUUUUU